Long non-coding RNA from Eurytemora carolleeae, 711 nucleotides. RefSeq lists it as uncharacterized. NCBI's taxonomy places the organism in Eukaryota, Metazoa, Arthropoda, Copepoda, Calanoida, Temoridae. The transcript is spliced from 3 exons. The record is from RefSeq and is a predicted model, not a curated record.
CAACUUAUUGUUAUAAAAUUAUUAUCUAAUACAAUAAAGAUAUAGAAGUUGUGUAAUCUGUAAACAAAAAAUGAAUGAUGAAGUUAGCAAAGGAGACCAACAACUGAAGAAGUUAAAAAUGUUCUAGUGAAGAGGUUGGAUCUAUUGAGUGAAUUGUUUCUUCAAGACAUUUGGCUCUGAAGUAGAAACAUUUUUCUUGGAUUUUCAACCUCAGAUAUUCCUGUGCUGUGACAACAAAGCUGCAAAUCCACCUUCAGGAGAAUACGUCUUACAUCACAACAACAAAAUAAUUGACGCCAACCUGGCCAAAAAUGUAUCCAGUAUGAACUAUAGUGAACUAUUAAAAAAAAAUUAAAGCUUAGAAGUAUACCCCUAUGAACUUGAUCACACCUCGUACUAUCUAAGCAAGCGCCGAAUCACCCUUAUGUUCGAAAAGAGGUUUCUCAGUGUGUCUCAAUGUCAAAAUGUCUCAUUUAUAUGAAUAUGCAUUUGCACAAAUAGAGAUGUCUUAGCGUUUCAAUUUUGAUUGGCUCUAUCUUGAUGAUCUUAAGUGGAAUAAGUUUUAGGAAAAAUAUCAGUUUUUAAACAUUUUUCUAAGAAUCAUAAUUGUUACUUUCAGCCUCUGCUCAAAUAUUGUUGGUUCCGCUUAAAAUUGUAUUCAAUGUUUCAAGAUUUAAGCUCAAUUGAACCCGUUUUUUAGGGGAUUUGAGA